UUGCAGCUAUAUUUAUAUAUUAUAUUUGAUUAUAAAUGUAUUACUAAAAAUCUUGUUAUUUCUCUCUCAGUCUGAGGGGCUGUAAUCUGACAGAGGAAAGUUGUUCAUCACUGGCGUCAGUUCUCAGAUCAAACUCCUCAAGUCUGACAGAACUGAACCUGAGUUUCAAUAAACUGCAGGAUUCAGGAGUGAAGCUGCUCUCUGAUGGACUGAAGAAUACAAACUGUAAACUGAAGACACUGAAGCUGUUUAACUGCAGUAUUGGAUCUGAAGGUUGUGUUGCUCUGACUUCAGCUCUGAGAUCAAACCCCUCACAUCUGAGAGAACUCAAUCUGAGAUAUAAUAAUCCAGGAGAUUCAGGAGUGAAGAUGCUCUCUGAUCUACUGAAGGAUCCACACUGUCAACUACAGAAACUACUUAUUGAGCCAAAAGUUGAAUCAAGCGACUGUGUUUUGUCAUAAACUACAAGAGUUGUUUACUGCCUCCUACUGGACAAACAACAUCAGUGACUCAGAAGAGCUCAACACGAGAGACGUCUGUUACAGAUCUUAACACACAAACACAAACUGUUGAUUGUUUGUCGUUUCAUGUUUUUCUGGUCCAGCUCACUAUAAAGCAAGGGCUCAAAUGCAGCAGGAUUCAAUCUGAGCUUUCUGUGUCACAUCGGCACAUUUGCUGUGGGAGUGGAGGGUUUAGUGUAUGUGUGUGAUGGGAAAGAACACCAUUGACAUUUAUUGAAAUGUUUAUGUAAAUGUGAAUAACAAUGCAUUUGUACAUUAUUGUAUUUAGAUUCAAUUCUGAAUAUGUAUGUAAUGAGAUAUUAUGCUUAUUGUUGAUAAUCGCCUCCCAGCUAACAAAAUAAUCCCACAAAUAUUAUAAAUCAUGAAUUCAUUUGUGAAGUGCAGUAUUGGAUCUGAAUCCAAUGGCCUAAUGGUUAGAGAGUCGGACUUGUGACCAGAAGGUUGCUGGUUGGAUUCCCAGGGCCGGCGGGUAACGACUGAGGUGCCCUUGAGCAAGGCACCUGACCCCUACUUGCUCCCCGGGCGCUGCAGUGAUAGCUGCCCACUGCUCCGGGUGUACGUGUGUUCACUACUCUCUGGAUGGGUUACAUGCAGAGGUGACAUUUUGUUGCCUUGUACAUGUGUAAUGACAAUAAAGUUGAAUCUAAAUCUAAUAUCAAGAGUAACAAUGGCACAUUUAAGAAUAUAUAUUUCUAGAUUGUAAUUAUGUAAUUUAUGUGUUCUUGCCUCCUAUGACAUAUCACUUUCUUGUUUCCGAAUCUCUCUGUAGGUCGCUUGAAAUAAAAGUGUCUGUUAAAUGUCUAAAAGUUGAUGUAAAGCGGUAACCUGUCUGCCUCAGUGUGGGACAUAACAUACAGUAUAUUUUUAGACUUAUUGUACAAUGCUUAUAUGUACUUUUUAAAUAUUUGAUUGUUGGUUUCCUUAUAAUAAACAAGAUGUCAUUGUUUUUCUA
Triplophysa rosa is the source of this 1473-nucleotide long non-coding RNA. RefSeq lists it as uncharacterized. The transcript is spliced from 3 exons. The record is from RefSeq and is a predicted model, not a curated record. Lineage: Eukaryota; Metazoa; Chordata; Actinopteri; Cypriniformes; Nemacheilidae.